Long non-coding RNA from Brassica napus (rape), 1314 nucleotides. RefSeq lists it as uncharacterized. The transcript has 4 exons. NCBI's taxonomy places the organism in Eukaryota, Viridiplantae, Streptophyta, Magnoliopsida, Brassicales, Brassicaceae. The record is from RefSeq and is a predicted model, not a curated record.
UCCAACUUCCACAGCCAUCUCUGCCUCGAGAAACAAACUUGCGUGAAAUCCACCGUGAAAUCCUCUAUCUCUGCAGUCCCCCUCCCCUCACAUCCGCUCAAUUGAUAUAACGAUGGGUUGAAAUGCCAAUCCGGGACGACUUGUUGCCCAUGCGCCCAUAGAUUCCCGAAGGUCCAUGGCUGCAGCUUUCAUUUCAAAUCGCCGGUCGCGAAAAAAUUCACUGGUCUCGAAUACUAAAAAUUAUAAAAGAGUUAAGCCUAAGUGAAUGAUCUGAAAUCAACGAGCAUGAACCAAACAUCUAUUCAAAAGAACAAAUCGCAGCAACCCUGAGAUUGCUCAUCUGGUGAAUGCGGUGGAGGUCACAAGGGUCGAGACAAUGACAAUUGGUGAAAUCUAUGCUUACAUGAAGCAGGAAUCCGCCAAGGAGGCGCUUUUUGACUGCUAGCAACAAUUGCUGAAUCAUGCAAGGUUCAUGCAAGAAGGACAAGAGUCAGGGGAAGUAUCGCUUAUCGCCAAGGCAGACACAUGAUGAUGAUAGAUUUAGAUAGAAGGAUGGAGUUGCUUAGUUACGUAACAGCAGGUUUUGAUUGUAUUAAUUAUGUAACUUUCAAAUUUACUCUCAUCAUAUUUAAAUGGCUCUUUCCUUGCAUUCAUCAUCCCUUUAUGUUAGGCUUCAGGCACUUAAAUCACACAGACACAGCUAGGCUCUGCGGUCUCAGUAGCAUUGGGGUUGGUAUUUUCAUAGUUUGUGAUCGAGUACUCUCCGCAGGUCAGUCUCCCUUCACUACUCUUUGGUACGAAUACGAUCCAUUACAUUACGUAGAAAGCCGCAUUGGCUCUCAGUGUCUCAUCGAUCCCAAUAACCUUGGACUUGAAAAAGAACAACAAAUUCAAGAAAUAAGGAGGAACAGAAGUUGUGUCAUGCUCUUUUGGCUGUUAAUCGUUUCAUGAAUAUGGCGUGCGAGCAAGAGAAUUCUCGCUAAUUGUAUGCUUAUGUGCUUUGCAUCGUCCAGCAACGUGGCCACUGCACAAGUCAUUGAUUUCCAUUGUUUGGACUUGACAUAACUUCAGAGAGAAAGGAAAAGAGAAUUAUUUCAAGAAAAAAGAGAAUUAUUUCAAUUAUGGCAAUUCUCUUAUGGUAGGAGAUAGGAAAAGAUAAUUAUUUGAAUUAUGGCAAUUCUUUUAAAUAGUAGGUUUUAGUUUUUAUAACAAAAAGAAUCAUUAAGUAGGAAAAUGAUUAAAUUUUAUAUAUAUAUAUAUAUAUCUACAUGAGGCUGCAAGCAACUUGGUUUUGAGUUGGAAAACACCUUAGCA